UGCUCACGCAACGGCACUCCAACCUGGGUGACAAAGCAAGCCCGUGUCUUAAAAAAAAAAGGGCACGUAGGAAUUGGAUGGCAAAUUCAAGCCUAUGGUGCACACAAAAAUACCUGCAAACCACAAAUAAAGAAAUGGAGGAGGCAGUCGGUGCAGGUCUUCGGAUGCAAGAAGACGGCCACAGCUGUGGCGCACUGCUAACGUGGCAAUGGUCUCAUCAAGGUGAACGGGCAGCCCCUGGAGAUGAUUGAGCCGCCCACACUACAGUACAAGCUGCUGGAGCCAGUUCUACUUCCUGGCACGGAGGGAUUUGCUGGUGUGGACAUCCGUGUCUGUGUGAAGGGUGGUGGUCAUGUGGCCCAGAUUUAUGCUAUCCAUCAGUCCAUCUCCAAAGCCCUGGCGGCCUAUUACCAGAAACAUGUGGAUGAUGCUUCGAAGAAGGAGAGCAAAGACAUCCUCAUCCAGUGUGACCUGACCCUGCUGGUAGCUUAUCCCCGUCGCUGUGAGUCCAAAAAGUUUGGAGGCCCUGGUGCCUGUGCUCGCUGCCAGAAAUCCUACCGAUAAGCCCAUCAUGACUAUCAAAAUUCACCUGUAUAAUAAACAGUUUUUGAGGGAUUUUAAAGUUUCAAAAAAA
RNA transcript from Nomascus leucogenys (northern white-cheeked gibbon), 634 nucleotides. It is a transcript of the gene named 40S ribosomal protein S16 pseudogene, with no coding region annotated. The record is from RefSeq and is a predicted model, not a curated record. Lineage: Eukaryota; Metazoa; Chordata; Mammalia; Primates; Hylobatidae. The transcript has a single exon.